CAUAGGUUAAUGAGGCGAACCGGGGGAACUGAAACAUCUAAGUACCCCGAGGAAAAGAAAUCAACCGAGAUUCCCCCAGUAGCGGCGAGCGAACGGGGAGGAGCCCAGAGCCUGAAUCAGUGUGUGUGUUAGUGGAAGCGUCUGGAAAGGCGUGCGAUACAGGGUGACAGCCCCGUACACAAAAAUGCACAUACUGUGAGCUCGAUGAGUAGGGCGGGACACGUGGUAUCCUGUCUGAAUAUGGGGGGACCAUCCUCCAAGGCUAAAUACUCCUGACUGACCGAUAGUGAACCAGUACCGUGAGGGAAAGGCGAAAAGAACCCCGGCGAGGGGAGUGAAAAAGAACCUGAAACCGUGUACGUACAAGCAGUGGGAGCCUCUUAAUGGGGUGACUGCGUACCUUUUGUAUAAUGGGUCAGCGACUUAUAUUCUGUAGCAAGGUUAACCGAAUAGGGGAGCCGAAGGGAAACCGAGUCUUAACUGGGCGUUAAGUUGCAGGGUAUAGACCCGAAACCCGGUGAUCUAGCCAUGGGCAGGUUGAAGGUUGGGUAACACUAACUGGAGGACCGAACCGACUAAUGUUGAAAAAUUAGCGGAUGACUUGUGGCUGGGGGUGAAAGGCCAAUCAAACCGGGAGAUAGCUGGUUCUCCCCGAAAGCUAUUUAGGUAGCGCCUCGUGAAUUCAUCUCCGGGGGUAGAGCACUGUUUCGGCAAGGGGGUCAUCCCGACUUACCAACCCGAUGCAAACUGCGAAUACCGGAGAAUGUUAUCACGGGAGACACACGGCGGGUGCUAACGUCCGUCGUGAAGAGGGAAACAACCCAGACCGCCAGCUAAGGUCCCAAAGUCAUGGUUAAGUGGGAAACGAUGUGGGAAGGCCCAGACAGCCAGGAUGUUGGCUUAGAAGCAGCCAUCAUUUAAAGAAAGCGUAAUAGCUCACUGGUCGAGUCGGCCUGCGCGGAAGAUGUAACGGGGCUAAACCAUGCACCGAAGCUGCGGCAGCGACACUAU
RNAcentral lists this ribosomal RNA (1011 nucleotides) under Escherichia coli. Its description in RNAcentral is "partial 23S ribosomal RNA". It matches the Rfam family "Bacterial large subunit ribosomal RNA", at positions 165 to 1217 of the family's 2925-position model. Lineage: Bacteria; Pseudomonadati; Pseudomonadota; Gammaproteobacteria; Enterobacterales; Enterobacteriaceae. The record is from RNAcentral.